CGUCGCUGCCCUCCAAUGCACGAUACCACCAUUACCCCCUUCUACCUUCCUCUUCCCAUCGGUUGCUGAAUACUCCAUCGAAAGCGAUUGCAGUGGCAGGAGGGCGACUUGUCUCUCUUCUUUUUCGGCGAGUGACCAUCGGAGGCUGUUGAGUUGAUUCUCUGCCCGAGUGCCCCCUUCUUCUUCUCGGUCUCCAUUUGGCCUGUGAGUCCAUCUCUUCUCUGUAAUUUUUACUCAGAGUGGAUUGGAUUAAGCCAUGAGUAAUGCAUCCCAAACUGGAGUGAACAUUUGCCUGAGUUUGAGAAACCCAACUCAAAAUUGUAACCUCAAACCUCCUGCUUCAUAAGGUAAUCCCAAACCCAAAAUUCGACAUGAAAGACUUAACUUUUUUGGGUUCUGAAUGAAACAACUGUUCGAUGAGGUUACUAUCGAGUCGUUGGGUUCUAAAUGAGAACAUAUGGUCGAUGAGGUUACCGUUAAUAUAUUUUUUUCAAUCGUUCCAACAAUUUUUUUCUGUCGAUCCCGUUUUAACUAACUAUGCCCCAGCUCGCGCCAUUUAAUGCUGAAUUAGUUUUUUUUAUUUGAAUCGAGGGUGGCAGAUGAGAAUCGCGCGCUUUCAUGGGGGCGAUGGCUUCCACCUUUAAAGCCCAGACAUAUUUGCUUCCCACCUCGUCUUCAUGCCUUAUGCCUGUUCAUUUCUGCAUACCUAUCGAUUUCUAAUAUCCAAACCCAAGAAGAUACAGAAGAUACCCGCCUCUUCAUUGCCCUUCUCCACCACUUUCCCAUCUGUAAAUGAAGAUACCCUGUUCAAGUUCAAGUUUAGACUCAAUCAAUCGCUACCCAUCAUGCACCUACUACUAUCUCGUUUGCGUGAAUCCUCCAUAACUCUUUUAUCUCUUAAAGAGCUCCACGCCCAGAUCGUUAUCAACUCUCUUUCCUCAGAUGAAUUUGUUGCCACCAGACUUGUUAAUACGUAUUCCAAUUUCGGUACUUUGAGCGAUGCCCGCAAAGUCUUCGAUCAAAUAUGUAACCCGACGGUCUUCCUAUGUAAUGCCAUGAUGAGUGGGUAUCUUAAAAAUGAGCUUUCCAUGGAGACCCUUGAAUUGUAUCGGAUGAUAAUAUCCCGUGGUUUAAAAACCAAUGGUUGCACCUCUACUUUGGCACUCAAGGCAUGCACCAGCUUGUUGGAUUUUGAAAUGGGUAAUAAAAUAAUGGAAGACGCAGUGAAUGAUGGUCUGGUGAAUAAUCGGUUCUUUGGGAGUUCGGCGAUAAGCUUCUUGGUGAAACUUGGCAACAUUGAGGAAGCUCGAAGGGUGUUCGACGAAAUGCCCCAUAAAGAUGUUGUUUGUUGGAAUUCAAUGAUUGGAGGAUAUUUGCAGUUGGAUUGCCUAGAUAAGGCUUUAGAUUUGUUUUUCAAGAUGUGGGUUUCUGGGAUUUUACCAACUGCAGUAACUAUCUCAAACUUGAUCCAGGUGUGUGGAGGAAUAAAAAAUUUAGAACUUGGGAAAUGCAUUCAUUCAUUUGUGAUUGGAUUGGGGUUAAAUGGUGAUGUUUUGGUUCUUACCUCUUUGGUUGAUAUGUAUGGUAAAAUUGGUGACACUGAAAGUGCUCGGCGGGUCUUUGAUAGAAUGUCCUCAAGGACUUUGGUUUCAUGGAAUGCCAUGCUUUCAGGGUAUGUGCAGAAUAAAUUAAUUUUUGAAUCAUUUGAGCUCUUCCAUCUAUUCACAUUGAAUGGCAUUGUAUUUGACUCAGCUACAAUUCUUAGUCUCUUUCAGAUCUGUGCUCAGCUAGCUUGUCUGAAAGGUGGGAAAAUCCUUCAUGGUUGUGCUUUUAGAAGAGGCUUUCAAUUGAAUCUCAUUGUGUCGACUGCAGUUGUCGAUCUGUAUGCUAAAUGUGGUGCUUUAAAACAAGCAACUUUUGUUUUUAACGGGAUGAAGGAGAGGAAUGUGAUCUCUUGGACAGCAUUGUUGGUUGGACUGGCACAAAAUGGCCAUGCGGAGGAUGCACUGAAAUUAUUUAGCCAGAUGCAAGAGGAGGGAAUUGCUGCAAAUUCUUUCACUCUUGUUGGUUUGAUCCAUGCUUGUGCCCAUUUGGGAUCUCUGAAGAAAGGAAAGAGUGUUCAUGCCCAUUUGUUACGGCGUGGAAUUGUGUUUGAUGUAGUUAACAUGACAGCCCUCAUUGAUAUGUACGCCAAGUGUGGAACCAUAGACUCUGCAGAGCGAUUAUUCAACAACGGCUGCAUACCCAAUGAUGUUGUCCUGUGGAAUUCUAUGAUAAAUGGUUACGGCAUACAUGGCAAUGGAUAUCAAGCUAUUAGAGUCUUUAAUCAGAUGAAAGAGGAAGGAGUCCAACCAAAUGAAACUACCUUCAUUUCUCUUCUGUCUGCUUGUAGUCACUCAGGAAUGGUCAGAGAGGGGAUGCAUUUGUUCCAGAUCAUGUCCACAGACCAUGGCAUUUCUCCUAGGGAAAAGCACUAUGCUUGCUUGGUGGAUCUUCUGAGUAGAGCAGGCUGUCUUGAAGAAGCUGAAGACUUGGUCAAACAAAUGCCAUUUGAACCGGGCAACCUUGUUCUUCAAUCUUUGCUGAGUGGAUGCCGAACUCAUAAGAACAUUGCUAUUGGUAUCCGAACUGCAGAUAAAUUGCUUAGUUUAGAUGCUAUGAACCCUGGAAUUUACAUUGUGUUAUCAAAUAUAUAUGCUGAGGGAGGGAGGUGGAGUGAAGUAGAUUAUGUUAGAGAUCUUAUGAGGAAGAAAGGGCUGAGGAAAACUCCUGGAUACAGCUUGACUGAAAUAGGAAAUCGGGUCCAUGCAUUUUUUGCGGGGGAUGAUUCACAUCCAUACUGGCCAGAAAUUUAUCGCAUGUUGGAGAAUUUGAGAAUACAGUUAGAAUCAUUAGGUUACAUGCCAGACACUAGUUGUGUGCUUCGUGACAUUGACGAGCAGGUGAAAGUGAAGCUUCUGUGGGGCCAUAGUGAGAGAUUAGCAAUUGCAUUUGCACUUAUAAAUACCCCAGCCGGGAGCUUGAUAAGGAUCACUAAGAAUCUUCGUGUUUGUAAUGACUGUCAUACAGUGACAAAGUAUAUUUCGAAGAUUGUUAGGAGGGGUAUCAUUGUCAGAGACGCUAACCGUUUUCAUCAUUUCGUAGAUGGGCGCUGCUCUUGUGGUGAUUACUGGUGAUGCUUAUUCACUAAGAAGAGAUUGACCCCUAAUUGCUAAAUAUUUCUCCAUUUUGUCUGUGGAUGAUAACAUGAAGCUGGAGUUAAUUCAAUAAACAGCGCUACAAAGCAUCCAUCCUUUUGCCCAGAGUUAAAUUUAACCAGUAAAUGGAGGUCGGAGAGAUGUCAGAGCAAAAAUAUCUGAUGCCAGAUAACUUGGUUCCAUAUCAUUUCCAAGCUCAUCUUGAAGUUGCCCAUGGACGGAAUUCAGAUUGAUUCCUGGGCACUGGAACCACGGCUGACAUCAUGAGCAGCACCACAGUUCCAGUGUGAGAAAUGCCUCCUUAUAUGAACUGCGUGGCCUACCGGUUAUAGAGCCUUAGACAAGUAUAAAGGGAUUGAAGUCACCUGGAACCAAGUCAAGCUUUAUGAUUUCCUGCAAAGAGCCCUCAAGAUCUUGAGAGGCUGUACUGUGAAAUCCAUCUCUUCAAGACAUUGAAGCACAAGAACACCAUGAAGUUCUCUACUUCUUGGGUUGAUACUGCGAACAGAAACAUUAACUGUGUAACCAAGAUGUUCAGUUCUUGGACUGUGAGGCAGUAGUUAUGUUUGA
This is an RNA transcript of Macadamia integrifolia, 3767 nucleotides long. It is a transcript of the gene named pentatricopeptide repeat-containing protein At3g12770-like, with no coding region annotated. The record is from RefSeq and is a predicted model, not a curated record. The transcript has 3 exons. Lineage: Eukaryota; Viridiplantae; Streptophyta; Magnoliopsida; Proteales; Proteaceae.